CCUGGCGGCCGUAGCGCGGUGGUCCCACCUGACCCCAUGCCGAACUCAGAAGUGAAACGCCGUAGCGCCGAUGGUAGUGUGGGGUCUCCCCAUGCGAGAGUAGG
This 104-nucleotide ribosomal RNA is filed under the name Escherichia coli. RNAcentral also lists the same sequence under 5 other names. The record is from RNAcentral. Lineage: Bacteria; Pseudomonadati; Pseudomonadota; Gammaproteobacteria; Enterobacterales; Enterobacteriaceae.